UUGAACGCUGGCGGCAUGCUUUACACAUGCAAGUCGAACGGUAACAGGUCUUCGGAUGCUGACGAGUGGCGAACGGGUGAGUAAUGCAUCGGAACGUGCCCAGUCGUGGGGGAUAACGCAGCGAAAGCUGUGCUAAUACCGCAUACGAUCUAUGGAUGAAAGCGGGGGAUCGCAAGACCUCGCGCGAUUGGAGCGGCCGAUGUCAGAUUAGCUAGUUGGUGGGGUAAAGGCCCACCAAGGCGACGAUCUGUAGCUGGUCUGAGAGGACGACCAGCCACACUGGGACUGAGACACGGCCCAGGCUCCUACGGGAGGCAGCAGUGGGGAAUUUUGGACAAUGGGCGCAAGCCUGAUCCAGCAAUGCCGCGUGCGGGAUGAAGGCCUUCGGGUUGUAAACUGCUUUUGUACGGAACGAAAAGACUCCUUCUAAUAAAGGGGGUCCAUGACGGUACCGUAAGAAUAAGCACCGGCUAACUACGU
RNAcentral lists this ribosomal RNA (480 nucleotides) under uncultured bacterium. Its description in RNAcentral is "bacterial SSU rRNA". It matches the Rfam family "Bacterial small subunit ribosomal RNA", at positions 30 to 506 of the family's 1533-position model. The record is from RNAcentral.